AUUGAACGCUGGCGGCAGGCCUAACACAUGCAAGUCGAACGGUAACAGGAAGAAGCUUGCUUCUCUGCUGACGAGUGGCGGACGGGUGAGUAAUGUCUGGGAAACUGCCUGAUGGAGGGGGAUAACUACUGGAAACGGUAGCUAAUACCGCAUAACGUCGCAAAACCAAAGAGGGGGACCUUCGGGCCUCUUGCCAUCGGAUGUGCCCAGAUGGGAUUAGCUAGUAGGUGGGGUAACGGCUCACCUAGGCGACGAUCCCUAGCUGGUCUGAGAGGAUGACCAGCCACACUGGAACUGAGACACGGUCCAGACUCCUACGGGAGGCAGCAGUGGGGAAUAUUGCACAAUGGGCGCAAGCCUGAUGCAGCCAUGCCGCGUGUAUGAAGAAGGCCUUCGGGUUGUAAAGUACUUUCAGCGGGGAGGAAGGGAGUAAAGUUAAUACCUUUGCUCAUUGACGUUACCCGCAGAAGAAGCACCGGCUAACUCCGUG
This 490-nucleotide ribosomal RNA is filed under the name uncultured bacterium. RNAcentral's name for it is "partial 16S ribosomal RNA". It matches the Rfam family "Bacterial small subunit ribosomal RNA", at positions 30 to 507 of the family's 1533-position model. The record is from RNAcentral.